Molecule: long non-coding RNA, 995 nt
Organism: Papaver somniferum (opium poppy)
Lineage: Eukaryota; Viridiplantae; Streptophyta; Magnoliopsida; Ranunculales; Papaveraceae
Exons: 2
Source: RefSeq, a predicted model, not a curated record
UUUCAUUUUCAGUUCUUCUUCCCUAUGAAGAAGAAUCUCACGAUUCUCACCGUCGCCUUCUUCCCUUCUACUGAAGAGUCUCACCAUCCUUCUUCACUUCUUAUUUCUACAUCUUCUUCUGUUCUUCUUUUCUGUUCACCUCUUCUUCUACGUUCUUCUUCUUCAUCUGGUUUAGGGUUCUUAUGUUUUUCAUCUUUCUACUGCUAGAUACUAAGUGAAAUAUUGAUUUGGUGAAAGACGAGACAGCAACCGGUGGAAAUAAAUUAAUUGGAAAGUGUGGAUGGGUCUGGUAGAGUUUGAGCUGGAGAACUUGAAUUGGUGAUGGUGUGUUAGUUGCCGAUACAGGUAGCUGGUGGUAAUAUGCUGCUCGAAUUACAGAAGAAAAAGGUUGGGUUUGAGCUGAAAUUAAAGAAGAGAACAUGAAAAAGGUUGUUGUUGAAGGAGGGAUUAAAUGGGCAUUGGUGGUUGGUUUCUAUUGAAGUGAUGGAGAUUAAAAGGGUUUGUGAAUGCAUGCUUUACAGGGAAAGACCAUGAGGCAGUGAAUGGAAGAAUGAAGUUGAAGUGCAGUGAGCUGUAGGUAAUGGUGUUGAUGCUGUGCUGUUAAUGGAGGAGAUCAAGAUAAUGAUUGGUGGUAUUGGCUGUGAGUUAUUGAAGCAACAAAAGUGAAUGGGUCAGAUGCAACUGUUGUGCGUGCAAUAAGUUACAGAAAGAGUUGCAGGUAAUGGUGAACUUGACUUGCAUAUGGUGCUGCUUUUGGUAUUUGGAUAAUGAUGUUGGUGGAUGGAUUAUUUAAGAAGGUAAAAUGAGUGGGUUGGUGCAGCGAAGCAGCUACAGCUACUGCUUGAACUGGUAAUUACAGUUUGAAUUGAUUUUGACUUAGUUUUAGGCGAGAAAAACCAUGGAGAAGAUUGAUGUUUCUUCCAUUGGUUUAUAUAAUUAAAUGAAUGCUUGUUAAAUGAUACCCAUAACUAUGGAAUUAAAUAAUUUUUUGGUUA